This 170-nucleotide ribosomal RNA is filed under the name Rectipilus idahoensis. Its description in RNAcentral is "5.8S ribosomal RNA". It matches the Rfam family "5.8S ribosomal RNA". Rfam says of the family: 5.8S ribosomal RNA (5.8S rRNA) is a component of the large subunit of the eukaryotic ribosome. It is transcribed by RNA polymerase I as part of the 45S precursor that also contains 18S and 28S rRNA. Lineage: Eukaryota; Fungi; Basidiomycota; Agaricomycetes; Agaricales; Porotheleaceae. The record is from RNAcentral.
UACAACUUUCAGCAACGGAUCUCUAGGCUCUCGUAUCGAUGAAGAACGCAGCGAAAUGCGAUAAGUAAUGUGAAUUGCAGAAUUCAGUGAAUCAUCGAAUCUUUGAACGCACCUUGCACCCUUUGGUAUUCCGAAGGGUAUGCCUGUUUGAGUGUCAUUAAAUUCUCAAG